Molecule: long non-coding RNA, 404 nt
Filed under: Phascolarctos cinereus (koala)
Lineage: Eukaryota; Metazoa; Chordata; Mammalia; Diprotodontia; Phascolarctidae
Description: lncRNA (ENSPCIG00000018215.2)
Source: RNAcentral
AAACACUCCACUGGAGGCAGGAAAACUAAGUUAAGAAAGAAUAGGAGGAAGUGUGCUGGCCAUUUAGCCAAACAGUCUUUAAUACAUUGAGCUUAAAAGCUAGCAGCUUUACUGUACUGACUUGGAGUAAACAAAUUGCAUUUUUUCUUUGCCCAGUUCUUAACGGGAUUUGGAUAAUGGAGGUGAUAAGAAUAAUCAAAGCAAGAGAAUAAGAGUUUCUCAGUAUUUAAACAUCUCAGAAGGAACCUUGAGCUGAAGAAAACUGCAGGGAAAUUGAGGGAGAACACCAAAUGACCACAUGUCUUCAGAUUAAGAUAAGAAAACUUCUAGAAAAUAACCCCAGCAACUUGACUUUAAUGGAAAAUACACUGGACUGGGAGUCGGGUUUCCUUCUACAUGCCUAA